This 214-nucleotide small nucleolar RNA is filed under the name Ictidomys tridecemlineatus (thirteen-lined ground squirrel). Its description in RNAcentral is "Spermophilus tridecemlineatus (thirteen-lined ground squirrel) Small nucleolar RNA U3". It matches the Rfam family "Small nucleolar RNA U3". From Rfam's summary of the family: Small nucleolar RNAs (snoRNAs) are involved in the processing and modification of rRNA in the nucleolus. There are two main classes of snoRNAs: the box C/D class, and the box H/ACA class. U3 snoRNA is a member of the box C/D class. Lineage: Eukaryota; Metazoa; Chordata; Mammalia; Rodentia; Sciuridae. The record is from Rfam by way of RNAcentral.
AAGCCCGUACUGGCAGGGACCAUUUCUAUUAUUUAUUGUUAGAGAUUUUUCUCUGAACAUAUAGGGCACCAGAAGCCACAGAAAUGAGGUGUAGAGUUCUCUCCUGAGUGUGAAGUCCGUCUUCAGUGAGGGUUUCAUUGCAAUUGUCAUUGCCAAUGGUGACAGUUUUUCUUUUCCUUAUUUUUUCAAGUGGAGAAAAUUCAGUCUGAGUGCU